Long non-coding RNA from Glycine soja, 845 nucleotides. RefSeq lists it as uncharacterized. The transcript has 2 exons. Lineage: Eukaryota; Viridiplantae; Streptophyta; Magnoliopsida; Fabales; Fabaceae. The record is from RefSeq and is a predicted model, not a curated record.
ACAUAUAGACAUGGGUGAUGGGUCAUUCUUAAAUGGAGCACUUCAUUGGUUAGUUUUCACCCAUGAUAAUGAUGAUCCCAGAAUUAUUGCAUUUAAUGUGAUGGAAAGGAAUAUAUCAGAGAUUUCACAGCCACCGCGUGAAUUGAAAUAUCCACCACAUUUGUGUCAUUUUUCUAAGGGUAAUGGGAGAAUGUUUAUGUCUCUGAAAGAAUACAAAGUGCAAUCAUCUUGGACCAAAUUAUUAUUAUUUUUAUACUAAUAUUGAUCCAUUCCAUCACUUUAUCCCAAUAUGCUUCACAGAAAAAUGGUGAAAUCUUGGGACAUGUACAGACCUAGCGAGAAUCAAUGACAAAGGCGAGUUGCUUGAGCAUCAAGAACUUGGGCUGCUCAGACGCAGUUAUGGAUUACUAUGCUCUCUAGUUUGUAUAGAGAGAGUUUGCUAUCACUCCCCGUCGACUAAGUGAAGAUUAACAAUGGUAGUAGCUGAAAGAAUUAAUCAUUUAUAUUUUAUCUAUGUGCAUAACCUAUGACUGAGACAAGAAAGUUUCUUAGUUAGAGACAUUGAUCUUCAUAUGGACUGCCUGAGAUAUGAAAAUUAUGAAUACUCAAUUAUGGUCUUUCAGGAACUCGGGUUGUUGCAUUUUAUUCCUACUCUGCACUUACAACAGGGUUUUAUGGUGGUGGAUGGACAAAAUUCUUGUAUAUAGUAAUGAAUAGAAAAUCCAGACAAGAAUCUUUUAUAUUAUAGAACCAAUUUCACUGGCAGGUCCAAUUUCUUGUUUGUCAUUGAUUUGGCUGGCCUUGAUGGAGUAGAUGCAUGUUUAAUUUCUAUUAAAAGUUCAAAA